Molecule: non-coding RNA, 83 nt
Organism: Podarcis lilfordi (Lilford's wall lizard)
Lineage: Eukaryota; Metazoa; Chordata; Lepidosauria; Squamata; Lacertidae
Source: the annotation of a GenBank genome assembly
AGGGCCAUAGCUCAGUGGCAGAGCACCUGCUUUGGAUACAGAAGGCCCCCUGUUCAAUCCCCAGCACCCCCAUGUUGGCCUGG